UACGGAGGGUGCAAGCGUUAUCCGGAUUCACUGGGUUUAAAGGGUGCGUAGGAGGGCAGGUAAGUCAGUGGUGAAAUCUCCAAGCUUAACUUGGAAACUGCCGUUGAUACUAUCAGUCUUGAAUAUUGUGGAGGUGAGCGGAAUAUGUCAUGUAGCGGUGAAAUGCUUAGAUAUGACAUAGAACACCAAUUGCGAAGGCAGCUCACUACUCAAUCAUUGACUCUGAGGCACGACAGCGUGGGGAGCAAACAGG
This 253-nucleotide ribosomal RNA is filed under the name uncultured bacterium. Its description in RNAcentral is "partial 16S ribosomal RNA". It matches the Rfam family "Bacterial small subunit ribosomal RNA", at positions 524 to 776 of the family's 1533-position model. The record is from RNAcentral.